Molecule: transfer-messenger RNA, 354 nt
Filed under: Kiritimatiellia
Lineage: Bacteria; Pseudomonadati; Kiritimatiellota
Also listed under: 1 other name
Description: UBA1067 sp900320855 Standard tmRNA
Rfam family: transfer-messenger RNA
About the family: Bacterial tmRNA, also known as 10Sa RNA or SsrA, is named for its dual tRNA and mRNA-like properties.
Source: RNAcentral
GGGGGUGAUCCGGUUUCGACGGGAUGUGUUGAAGUCAGAUUGCGCACCGUGGAUGCUCGUUGGCCACGUUAAAAAACGGGUAAAAACUGUAAUUGCGAACAACGAUUACGCUCUCGCCGCCUAAAUAACGGCCGCGAAGUCGAAGCGCCGAUGCCUGCUGAGCGCCGAGGCUUAAUUGAGCAGGCCACGCUGCAGGGAGAUCCUCUUGCCCGCUGCAGGGUGCCGAACCAUGAGGGUGGGUGCGGAUAAGCCCGGUUGUCGGCGUACCGCAUCCGAGAUCAAAGGCAGCCUACGUGCGUAGACGUUUGGGUGACGCCAUUUCGGACAGGGGUUCGACUCCCCUCACCUCCACCA